This 170-nucleotide ribosomal RNA is filed under the name Pleuronichthys verticalis (hornyhead turbot). Its description in RNAcentral is "partial small subunit ribosomal RNA". The record is from RNAcentral. Lineage: Eukaryota; Metazoa; Chordata; Actinopteri; Pleuronectiformes; Pleuronectidae.
CACCGCGGUUAUACGAGAGGCCCAAGUUGACAGACAACGGCGCAAAGGGUGGUUAGGGGAACAAACUAAACUAGAGCUAAACGCUUUCAGAGCUGUUAUACGCACCCGAAAGUAUGAAACCCAACUACGAAAGUAGCUCUAUUAACCCUGAACCCACGAAAGCUAAGAAA